Molecule: microRNA precursor, 96 nt
Organism: Nicotiana attenuata
Lineage: Eukaryota; Viridiplantae; Streptophyta; Magnoliopsida; Solanales; Solanaceae
Rfam family: MIR6152 microRNA precursor family
Source: Rfam
UGGACAGAUUAUUGUAUUCGAUUGUAUUCACGGAAUGAAAUAGGGGAUUACACUGUUUUUAAACGGAAAGUGAAUCAAUUAACAUAAUAGACUCCU